Molecule: transfer RNA, 69 nt
Filed under: Amphinemura sp. FS-2017
Lineage: Eukaryota; Metazoa; Arthropoda; Insecta; Plecoptera; Nemouridae
Description: tRNA-Trp
Rfam family: tRNA
About the family: Transfer RNA (tRNA) molecules are approximately 80 nucleotides in length. Their secondary structure includes four short double-helical elements and three loops (D, anti-codon, and T loops).
Source: RNAcentral
AAGGCUUUAAGUUAAAUAAACUAAUAGCCUUCAAAGCUAUAAAUAGAGGCAAAUAUUCUUUAAGCCUUA